This 29-nucleotide non-coding RNA is filed under the name Cricetulus griseus (Chinese hamster). Lineage: Eukaryota; Metazoa; Chordata; Mammalia; Rodentia; Cricetidae. The record is from RNAcentral.
CCAGCGAGUCUGGAGAGGAAAGGCGUGUA